GACGAACGCUGGCGGCGUGCUUAACACAUGCAAGUCGAACGGCAAGGCCCUGCUUUUGUGGGGUGCUCGAGUGGCGAACGGGGGAGUAACACGUGAGUAACCUGCCCUUGACUUUGGGAUAACUUCAGGAAACUGGGGCUAAUACCGGAUAGGAGCUCCUGCUGCAUGGUGGGGGUUGGAAAGUUUCGGCGGUUGGGGAUGGACUCGCGGCUUAUCAGCUUGUUGGUGGGGUAGUGGCUUACCAAGGCUUUGACGGGUAGCCGGCCUGAGAGGGUGACCGGCCACAUUGGGACUGAGGUACGGCCCAGACUCCUACGGGAGGCAGCAGUGGGGAAUAUUGCACAAUGGGCGGAAGCCUGAUGCAGCAACGCCGCGUGCGGGAUGACGGCCUUCGGGUUGUAAACCGCUUUCGCCUGUGACGAAGCGUGAGUGACGGUAAUGGGUAAAGAAGCACCGGCUAACUACGUG
Molecule: ribosomal RNA, 468 nt
Filed under: uncultured bacterium
Lineage: Bacteria
Description: partial 16S ribosomal RNA
Rfam family: Bacterial small subunit ribosomal RNA
Source: RNAcentral